Long non-coding RNA from Thunnus maccoyii (southern bluefin tuna), 782 nucleotides. RefSeq lists it as uncharacterized. The record is from RefSeq and is a predicted model, not a curated record. The transcript has 4 exons. Lineage: Eukaryota; Metazoa; Chordata; Actinopteri; Scombriformes; Scombridae.
CUUCAGAAACCAACGAGUGACGUCACGGUGACUACGUCCAUAUUUUUAUACAGUCUAUGUCGGCGACGCGACUGACGAUGUAAAUUUGCGAUAUAUGGAUCAUUCACAUGAAGUGAAAAUAUUCAACUUGAGCAAAAAAUUUGCGCGUAUCACAGGACUCUGCAGAGUGUUGUGAGUGGAGAACCAGAGGGACGGAAACAGACUGCUGCUGAGCGCCAAGGAACUUUUGUUUGUCCAAUUAGUCGUCCAGAACCCAAAGAUAUUCAGUUUACAAUGAUAUAAAUCAGAUCAUUUUUGAUUGAUAAGUAACCUAAUUUAUUAAUCAACUCAUUGUUUCAGCUCCACAGUGAACCUUUGGUGGUUAAACCAUGAAGGGCAGAUUCCUCACAGCCGCUGUCUGUAAACCAGCAGCGAGACGACGGCCACCAUCAUACCGAUGAGGAACAUCCCGGCGCUCAAACCCUCCACGACGCCACCUAGAGGCUCUGACGCAGAACGACACACACGUCAAUAAACAGGAGGUUUUGGGUUUCAGCGGUCCGUCACAGAAGCCGCCGUAGCUGUCACUCAGGUAGAGGUCGUCGUCAUGGUAACGAUCGCAAGCCCCACCCAGCCGGUCUCCUCCUGCCCCCAGGUUCACCUCCACCACCUGAUCAAUUCAUUGAUUGAUUGAAUUGACACACAAAGUCAACACAAACAUACUCGGCCACGAUGACGGCAAAGUAUCGGACGGCUCCGUUUGCGUCGCUGAACCAGGAGCAGUUGAAGCGGAACAAGAUGGA